Non-coding RNA from Lactuca sativa (garden lettuce), 583 nucleotides. NCBI's taxonomy places the organism in Eukaryota, Viridiplantae, Streptophyta, Magnoliopsida, Asterales, Asteraceae. The record is from RefSeq and is a predicted model, not a curated record.
UGGAGCUAUAAAAGGACUCACUAAGGCUGGAAAUGGCAGCCCCAAAACACCUUUCAACGUACUUCCUCUCUACCUUUUCCUAUCCUAUGUUCCAAAUCCAUCAAGAACGCCUCCACCGGAGGUGUUUGCUGGCAGUUUCCAGAGAGACAAAAAGGCAACACCCUCACGAUUUCCUUCCCUGUUUAAUCACUUUUCGAGGUAGCCCAAGCACUACCUUGUGAUCGAAGUUGCUGCCACUCGUUCCCCUCCUUGGUAACCGCUGAAACAGGAAGAAGAGGAGGCGAGAAGGCUGUCGGAACAACUUCCGGCCACCCUAUUUCCGUCGACAGCCACCGGGGCUGUUUUGGGUGAAACAACCGAGUCUUGAACGAAGCAAAAAUAUCACCGAAACCUCGGUCCAAAAUCGAGAAUCACACGCUCAAUGUGAGUCUUUAUGGGCCCGUUUUACAUUGUUCAAUAGUUUUGGGGGGAGAUGCAUACUUAAGUGUUGUGUUAUAAGCUUGAUGAAUAAUAGAUUUAUAGUUUACAUGCAUGUAUAACUAGUGUUACAUUUACAACUCUUGAUAGUUAAACAUGUCACAAA